CCUACGGGAGGCAGCAGUGGGGAAUAUUGGACAAUGGGCGAAAGCCUGAUCCAGCCAUGCCGCGUGUGUGAAGAAGGCCUUCGGGUUGUAAAGCACUUUCAGUGGGGAAGAAAGCCUUGGGGCUAAUACCCUCGAGGAAGGACAUCACCCACAGAAGAAGCACCGGCUAACUCCGUGCCAGCAGCCGCGGUAAUACGGAGGGUGCGAGCGUUAAUCGGAAUUACUGGGCGUAAAGCGCGCGUAGGUGGUCUGAUAAGCCGGUUGUGAAAGCCCCGGGCUCAACCUGGGAACGGCAUCCGGAACUGUCAGGCUAGAGUGCAGGAGAGGAAGGUAGAAUUCCCGGUGUAGCGGUGAAAUGCGUAGAGAUCGGGAGGAAUACCAGUGGCGAAGGCGGCCUUCUGGACUGACACUGACGCUGAGGUGCGAAAGCGUGGGUAGCAAACAGGAUUAGAUACCCGGGUAGUC
Molecule: ribosomal RNA, 465 nt
Filed under: Vreelandella stevensii
Lineage: Bacteria; Pseudomonadati; Pseudomonadota; Gammaproteobacteria; Oceanospirillales; Halomonadaceae
Description: partial 16S ribosomal RNA
Rfam family: Bacterial small subunit ribosomal RNA
Source: RNAcentral